Molecule: non-coding RNA, 72 nt
Organism: Podarcis lilfordi (Lilford's wall lizard)
Lineage: Eukaryota; Metazoa; Chordata; Lepidosauria; Squamata; Lacertidae
Source: the annotation of a GenBank genome assembly
GUCAGAUAGCUCAGUCAGCAGAGCAUAAGACUUUUAAUCUCAGGGUCAUGGGUUUGAGCCCCACAUUGUACA